UGGGGAAUAUUGCACAAUGGGCGAAAGCCUGAUGCAGCAACGCCGCGUGAGGGACGACGGCCUUCGGGUUGUAAACCUCUUUUAGCAAGGAAGAAGCGAAAGUGACGGUACUUGCAGAAAAAGCGCCGGCUAACUACGUGCCAGCAGCCGCGGUAAUACGUAGGGCGCAAGCGUUAUCCGGAAUUAUUGGGCGUAAAGAGCUCGUAGGCGGUUUGUCGCGUCUGCUGUGAAAACCCGAGGCUCAACCUCGGGCCUGCAGUGGGUACGGGCAGACUAGAGUGCGGUAGGGGAGAAUGGAAUUCCUGGUGUAGCGGUGGAAUGCGCAGAUAUCAGGAGGAACACCGAUGGCGAAGGCAGUUCUCUGGGCCGUAACUGACGCUGAGGAGCGAAAGCGUGGGGAGCGAACAGGAUUAGAUACCCUGGUAGUCCACGCCGUAAAACGUUGGGCGCUAGAUGUGGGGACCAUUCCACGGUUUCCGUGUCGCAGCUAACGC
Molecule: ribosomal RNA, 494 nt
Filed under: uncultured bacterium
Lineage: Bacteria
Description: partial 16S ribosomal RNA
Rfam family: Bacterial small subunit ribosomal RNA
Source: RNAcentral